This 501-nucleotide ribosomal RNA is filed under the name uncultured bacterium. RNAcentral describes it as "partial 16S ribosomal RNA". It matches the Rfam family "Bacterial small subunit ribosomal RNA", at positions 29 to 523 of the family's 1533-position model. The record is from RNAcentral.
AUUGAACGCUGGCGGCAUGCCUUACACAUGCAAGUCGAACGGCAGCACGGGUGCUUGCACCUGGUGGCGAGUGGCGAACGGGUGAGUAAUACAUCGGAACGUACCUUAUCGUGGGGGAUAACGCAGCGAAAGCUGUGCUAAUACCGCAUACGCCCUGAGGGGGAAAGCGGGGGAUCGCAAGACCUCGCGCGAUUAGAGCGGCCGAUGCCUGAUUAGCUAGUUGGGGGGGUAAAAGCCCACCAAGGCGACGAUCAGUAGCUGGUCUGAGAGGACGAUCAGCCACACUGGGACUGCGACACGGCCCAGACUCCUACGGGAGGCAGCAGUGGGGAAUUUUGGAAAAUGGGGGCAACCCUGAUCCCGCAAUGCCGCGUGAGUGAAGAAGGCCUUCGGGUUGUAAAGCUCUUUUGUCAGGGAAGAAACACCGGCUCUAACACAGUCCGGGAAUGACGGUACCUGAAGAAUAAGCACCGGCUAACUACGUGCCAGCCGCCGCGGUAA